Molecule: non-coding RNA, 26 nt
Filed under: Mus musculus (house mouse)
Lineage: Eukaryota; Metazoa; Chordata; Mammalia; Rodentia; Muridae
Source: RNAcentral
UCAAUGCUACAGGAUGUUUAUAACAA